ACUAGUACUUGUACUACUACGAGUAGUACUGGUACUACUACGAGUAGUACGAGUACUACUAUUGGUAGUAGUAGUGUAUGUACUAGUCGUAGUACUAGUA
This 100-nucleotide transfer RNA is filed under the name Amborella trichopoda. Its description in RNAcentral is "tRNA AMTR_s00043t00274910". The record is from RNAcentral. Lineage: Eukaryota; Viridiplantae; Streptophyta; Magnoliopsida; Amborellales; Amborellaceae.